UUGCCAGCAGCCGCGGUNAUNCAGAGGUCNCAAGCGUNUGUUCGGAUUCACUGGGCGUAAAGGGUGCGUAGGCGGCCAGGUAAGUYUGAUGUGAAAUCCCGCAGCUCAACUGCGGAACUGCAUUGRAUACUAUYUGGCUMGAGGAAUGGAGGGGAGACUGGAAUUCUCGGUGUAGCAGUGAAAUGCGUAGAUAUCGAGAGGAACACCAGUGGCGAAGGCGAGUCUCUGGACAUUUCCUGACGCUSAGGCACGAAAGCCAGGGGAGCAAACGGGAUUAGAUACCCCGGUAGUCCUGGCCUUAAACGGUGCGCAUUUGCUGUGAGCGGAAUCGACCCCGCUCGUGGCGAAGCUAACGCGUUAAAUGCGCCGCCUGGGAAGUACGGCCGCAAGGNUAAAACUCAAAGNAAUNGACGGGGGCCCGCACAAG
RNAcentral lists this ribosomal RNA (427 nucleotides) under uncultured bacterium. RNAcentral describes it as "partial 16S ribosomal RNA". It matches the Rfam family "Bacterial small subunit ribosomal RNA", at positions 505 to 929 of the family's 1533-position model. The record is from RNAcentral.